Molecule: ribosomal RNA, 1558 nt
Filed under: Bacillus toyonensis
Lineage: Bacteria; Bacillati; Bacillota; Bacilli; Caryophanales; Bacillaceae
Also listed under: 1 other name
Description: partial 23S ribosomal RNA
Rfam family: Bacterial large subunit ribosomal RNA
Source: RNAcentral
GGUUAAGUUAGAAAGGGCGCACGGUGGAUGCCUUGACACUAGGAGUCGAUGAAGGACGGGACUAACGCCGAUAUGCUUCGGGGAGCUGUAAGUAAGCUUUGAUCCGAAGAUUUCCGAAUGGGGAAACCCACUAUACGUAAUGGUAUGGUAUCCUUACCUGAAUACAUAGGGUAUGGAAGACAGACCCAGGGAACUGAAACAUCUAAGUACCUGGAGGAAGAGAAAGCAAAUGCGAUUUCCUGAGUAGCGGCGAGCGAAACGGAAUCUAGCCCAAACCAAGAGGCUUGCCUCUUGGGGUUGUAGGACAUUCUAUACGGAGUUACAAAGGAACGAGGUAGACGAAGCGACCUGGAAAGGUCCGUCGUAGAGGGUAACAACCCCGUAGUCGAAACUUCGUUCUCUCUUGAAUGUAUCCUGAGUACGGCGGAACACGUGAAAUUCCGUCGGAAUCUGGGAGGACCAUCUCCCAAGGCUAAAUACUCCCUAGUGAUCGAUAGUGAACCAGUACCGUGAGGGAAAGGUGAAAAGCACCCCGGAAGGGGAGUGAAAGAGAUCCUGAAACCGUGUGCCUACAAAUAGUCAGAGCCCGUUAAUGGGUGAUGGCGUGCCUUUUGUAGAAUGAACCGGCGAGUUACGAUCCCGUGCGAGGUUAAGUUGAAGAGACGGAGCCGCAGCGAAAGCGAGUCUGAAUAGGGCGUUUAGUACGUGGUCGUAGACCCGAAACCAGGUGAUCUACCCAUGUCCAGGGUGAAGUUCAGGUAACACUGAAUGGAGGCCCGAACCCACGCACGUUGAAAAGUGCGGGGAUGAGGUGUGGGUAGCGGAGAAAUUCCAAUCGAACCUGGAGAUAGCUGGUUCUCCCCGAAAUAGCUUUAGGGCUAGCCUUAAGUGUAAGAGUCUUGGAGGUAGAGCACUGAUUGAACUAGGGGUCCUCAUCGGAUUACCGAAUUCAGUCAAACUCCGAAUGCCAAUGACUUAUCCUUAGGAGUCAGACUGCGAGUGAUAAGAUCCGUAGUCAAGAGGGAAACAGCCCAGAUCGCCAGCUAAGGUCCCAAAGUGUGUAUUAAGUGGAAAAGGAUGUGGAGUUGCUUAGACAACUAGGAUGUUGGCUUAGAAGCAGCCACCAUUUAAAGAGUGCGUAAUAGCUCACUAGUCGAGUGACUCUGCGCCGAAAAUGUACCGGGGCUAAAUACACCACCGAAGCUGCGAAUUGAUACCAAUGGUAUCAGUGGUAGGGGAGCGUUCUAAGUGCAGUGAAGUCAGACCGGAAGGACUGGUGGAGCGCUUAGAAGUGAGAAUGCCGGUAUGAGUAGCGAAAGACGGGUGAGAAUCCCGUCCACCGAAUGCCUAAGGUUUCCUGAGGAAGGCUCGUCCGCUCAGGGUUAGUCAGGACCUAAGCCGAGGCCGACAGGCGUAGGCGAUGGACAACAGGUUGAUAUUCCUGUACCACCUCUUUAUCGUUUGAGCAAUGGAGGGACGCAGAAGGAUAGAAGAAGCGUGCGAUUGGUUGUGCACGUCCAAGCAGUUAGGCUGAUAAGUAGGCAAAUCCGCUUAUCGU